GAUGAACGCUGGCGGCGUGCCUAAUACAUGCAAGUCGAGCGAACAGAUCAGGCGCUUGCUCCUUUGACGUUAGCGGCGGACGGGUGAGUAACACGUGGGUCACCUACCUAUAAGACUGGGAUAACUUCGGGAAACCGGAGCUAAUACCGGAUAAUCUUUCGCACCGCAUGGUUCGAUAGUGAAAGAUGGCUUUGCUAUCACUUAUAGAUGGACCCGGGCCGUAUUAGCUGGUUGGUGAGGUAAUGGCUUACCAAGGCGACGAUACGUAGACGACCUGAGAGAGGGGUCGGCCGCCCUAGAACGUGGACACGGUCAAGACUACUACGGGAGGCAGCAGUAGGGAAUCGGCCGCAAUAGUCGGGAACCUUGCGGAGCAACCCGGAGUGAGAGAUGACGGUCUUCGGAGCGGAAUGCUCUGUUAUUAGGGAUAAACAUCUUUGGCAGUAACUGUGCACGUCGUGACGGUAACUAAUCAGAAAGCCACGGCUAACUACGUG
RNAcentral lists this ribosomal RNA (497 nucleotides) under uncultured bacterium. RNAcentral's name for it is "partial 16S ribosomal RNA". It matches the Rfam family "Bacterial small subunit ribosomal RNA", at positions 28 to 507 of the family's 1533-position model. The record is from RNAcentral.